RNAcentral lists this long non-coding RNA (848 nucleotides) under Malus domestica (apple). Its description in RNAcentral is "long non-coding RNA (MDOM_LNC008594)". Lineage: Eukaryota; Viridiplantae; Streptophyta; Magnoliopsida; Rosales; Rosaceae. The record is from RNAcentral.
CAAUAGAUCCAAGACAAGUUAGUGGGAGCAAUAUGCAUUCAAAUCAAGAAAAUAUAAUUGUUAAGCUUUUUGAAUGAAUGCUAAGUUACAACAAGGCCAGUGGGAGUGAUGUCAUAAUUUGAGCAACAAGAUAUGAAUAAAGUCUAUUUGAUAGACUUGAUAGAACAUAGAUGUUACUCGAAAAUUGACAAAACAUGACACGGUCAAUUUUGAAGUAUAGACUUGAAAUUGGACUUAUUGAUAUAGCAAGGCUAUCUCAAGAAUGUUAAAUGGGGAAAUUAAAUCUCAAAUGUUGAAGAUUUAAGAAAGCAUUUUCCUAUAUGAUAGAAAAUCACUUUCGUAACCCUUAUAAUGAAUGUGUCACAAAAUCACAAAAGGGACACAUGUAUGGACUUGUGAGUAGAUAUCCAAAAGUGAAGAACCACAGGAGUUGUCACUUUAAGAUAUUACUAUAUCCCAGGAUCAGAACCAAAGCAACUGAUAGAGUAUUAUUGCCUUUAAGAAAGGAACAUCAGAGUGGAACUCUGGAAGCGUGCAUUCACUUAGGUUAUAAACCAAAGUGAAAAUAAGACAUUUUAACAAAUGGAACUUCAUAAUGGAUGAAGUACUAAUCAUAUGAAUGUAUUGUAAGUAUUGUACUACAAUGGUCUCAAGGUUGGAGCAAAGUUUGUAUAAUGUAUACAAACGAAAUAUAUGACGAUAUAUUGUUUUAGAAACUGCUUCAAAAGGUGUUUUGAAUGGAAGGGUUCUUUUAGAACCAAUGAUUGAAUCCAAACCAUAAGGUCAUGAGUAGGACACUACGACGCAAUAGGGCGAUAGCUCAAGCCAUGGAAUCAAGGUCUCAUCAA